Molecule: ribosomal RNA, 869 nt
Filed under: uncultured archaeon
Lineage: Archaea
Description: bacterial SSU rRNA
Rfam family: Archaeal small subunit ribosomal RNA
Source: RNAcentral
UUCCGGUUGAUCCUGCCGGACCCGACUGCUAUCAGAGUGGGACUAAGCCAUGCGAGUCAACAUAGCAAUAUGUGGCAUACGGCUCAGUAACACGUAGUCAACAUGCCCAGGGGACGUGGAUAACCUCGGGAAACUGAGGAUAAACCGCGAUAGGUCAUCACUUCUGGAAUGGGUAAUGACUUAAAUCUAUAUGGCCCCUGGAUUGGACUGCGGCCGAUCAGGCUGUUGGUGAGGUAAUGGCCCACCAAACCUGUAACCGGUACGGGCUCUGAGAGGAGGAGCCCGGAGAUGGGCACUGAGACAAGGGCCCAGGCCCUAUGGGGCGCAGCAGGCGCGAAACCUCUGCAAUAGGCGAAAGCUUGACAGGGUUACUCUGAGUGAUUUCCGUUAAGGAGAUCUUUUGGCACCUCUAAAAAUGGUGCAGAAUAAGGGGUGGGCAAGUCUGGUGUCAGCCGCCGCGGUAAUACCAGCACCCCGAGUGGUCGGGACGUUUAUUGGGCCUAAAGCAUCCGUAGCCGGUUCUACAAGUCUUCCGUUAAAUCCACCUGCUUAACAGAUGGGCUGCGGAAGAUACUAUAGAGCUAGGAGGCGGGAGAGGCAAGCGGUACUCGAUGGGUAGGGGUAAAAUCCGUUGAUCCAUUGAAGACCACCAGUGGCGAAGGCGGCUUGCCAGAACGCGCUCGACGGUGAGGGAUGAAAGCUGGGGGAGCAAACCGGAUUAGAUACCCGGGUAGUCCCAGCUGUAAACGAUGCAGACUCGGUGAUGAGUUGGCUUAUUGCUAACUCAGUGCCGCAGGGAAGCCGUUAAGUUUGCCGCCUGGGGAGUACGGUCGCAAGACUGAAACUUAAAGGAAAUUGGCGGGGGAGCA